UCGAGAAUCUUUCGCAAUGGGGGCAACCCUGACGAAGCGACGCCGCGUGCAGGAUGAAGGUCUUCGGAUUGUAAACUGCUGUCAGCAGGGAAGAAAAAGUCCGCCGUGAAUAACGGCGGGCCUUGACGGUACCUGCAGAGGAAGCCACGGCUAACUCUGUGCCAGCAGCCGCGGUAAUACAGAGGUGGCGAGCGUUGUUCGGAUUCAUUGGGCGUAAAGCGCCCGUAGGCGGCGAGGUAAGUUGGACGUGAAAGCUCCCGGCUUAACUGGGAGAGGGCGUGCAAAACUGGCUGGCUUGAGGCUGGUAAAGGAGCGUGGAAUUCCCGGUGUAGUGGUGGAAUGCGUAGAUAUCGGGAGGAACACCAGUGGCGAAAGCGACGCUCCGGAUCAGACCUGACGCUGAGGGCGAAAGCGUGGGGAGCGAACGGGAUUAGAUACCCCGGUAGUCCACGCCGUAAACGAUGGAUACGUAGGUGUCGGCGGAUAUAAACCCGUCGGUGCCGAAGCUAACG
This 512-nucleotide ribosomal RNA is filed under the name uncultured bacterium. RNAcentral's name for it is "bacterial SSU rRNA". It matches the Rfam family "Bacterial small subunit ribosomal RNA", at positions 355 to 857 of the family's 1533-position model. The record is from RNAcentral.